UACGUAGGUGGCGAGCGUUGUCCGGAAUUACUGGGUGUAAAGGGCGUGUAGGCGGGAAUGUAAGUCAGAUGUGAAAUUCCGGGGCUCAACCCCGGCGCUGCAUCUGAAACUGCGUUUCUUGAGUGCUGGAGAGGAAAGCGGAAUUCCUAGUGUAGCGGUGAAAUGCGUAGAUAUUAGGAGGAACACCAGUGGCGAAGGCGGCUUUCUGGACAGUAACUGACGCUGAGGCGCGAAAGCGUGGGGAGCAAACAGG
This 253-nucleotide unclassified non-coding RNA is filed under the name uncultured Oscillospiraceae bacterium. RNAcentral describes it as "contains 16S-23S intergenic spacer region". It matches the Rfam family "Bacterial small subunit ribosomal RNA", at positions 524 to 776 of the family's 1533-position model. The record is from RNAcentral. Lineage: Bacteria; Bacillati; Bacillota; Clostridia; Eubacteriales; Oscillospiraceae.